UUGCAUGUUGCCUUAAUUUGAUCCAUAAUUAAUAAGUCGAUGGAAAUAGCCAAACGCAUGAAGCCAUGGUCAUUUUCCUUCCAAAUAUAUAAACAAACUAAAUCAUAAGUUUUGAACCUUUAUUUAGUUAUUUAUAAUGUUUAAUCUUCCGUUUGUUAAAAGGUUUGUUGGGAGUACUUCAAAGUAUUUUCCUUUUUUUUCCUUUUAUUUUUUUACUAUUUGAUCACUAAUAAAUAUUUUUUUUUAUACAAACGAUAUUGAUAGAGAAGGAAAUCGAAUCUAAGACCUAAAAUGCAUGAUAAAUGUUCUUAACCACUUAAGUUACAAGUCUCUUACUUGUAAGUGUUCAAUCACUAAUAUUGUAGAUAGUAAUAACGACAUAUAUGUAUCAUCUUUUAUUGACUACCUCUUGAUUUCAUAUACACAUACAUAUAUUUAUUAGAGAGGUGAGGUGGUCAGCAAAUGUUUUUCCACUCCAAAUCACUCAUGUAUAUUUCAUCCGCACACGAUAGUAAUAAAAAUCUUCUGAUAACUUGUCAGCAUCAUAUCAUCUAAUAUCUGAAAUUUAGAAUUUAUUUGGGAUCUUUCUAAUCCAACGUAAUCCAAAUAUCACCAGAC
This 618-nucleotide long non-coding RNA is filed under the name Prunus persica (peach). RNAcentral describes it as "long non-coding RNA (PPER_LNC004276)". The record is from RNAcentral. Lineage: Eukaryota; Viridiplantae; Streptophyta; Magnoliopsida; Rosales; Rosaceae.